RNAcentral lists this ribosomal RNA (468 nucleotides) under uncultured bacterium. RNAcentral's name for it is "partial 16S ribosomal RNA". It matches the Rfam family "Bacterial small subunit ribosomal RNA", at positions 28 to 507 of the family's 1533-position model. The record is from RNAcentral.
GACGAACGCUGGCGGCGUGCUUAACACAUGCAAGUCGAACGGAAAGGCCCUGCUUUUGUGGGGUGCUCGAGUGGCGAACGGGUGAGUAACACGUGAGUAACCUGCCCUUGACUUUGGGAUAACUUCAGGAAACUGGGGCUAAUACCGGAUAGGAGCUCCUGCUGCAUGGUGGGGGUUGGAAAGUUUCGGCGGUUGGGGAUGGACGCGCGGCUUAUCAGCUUGUUGGUGGGGUAGUGGCUUACCAAGGCUUUGACGGGUAGCCGGCCUGAGAGGGUGACCGGCCACAUUGGGACUGAGACACGGCCCAGACUCCUACGGGAGGCAGCAGUGGGGAAUAUUGCACAAUGGGCGGAAGCCUGAUGCAGCAACGCCGCGUGCGGGAUGACGGCCUUCGGGUUGUAAACCGCUUUCGCCUGUGACGAAGCGUUAGUGACGGUAAUGGGUAAAGAAGCACCGGCUAACUACGUG